This 450-nucleotide ribosomal RNA is filed under the name uncultured bacterium. RNAcentral's name for it is "bacterial SSU rRNA". It matches the Rfam family "Bacterial small subunit ribosomal RNA", at positions 29 to 524 of the family's 1533-position model. The record is from RNAcentral.
AACGAACGCUGGCGGCAGGCCUAACACAUGCAAGUCGAACGCCCUAGCAAUAGGGAGUGGCAGACGGGUGAGUAACGCGUGGGAACGUACCCUUCGGUUCGGAAUAACCCAGGGAAACUUGGACUAAUACCGGAUACGUGCGAGAGCAGAAAGAUUUAUCGCCGAAGGAUCGGCCCGCGUCCGAUUAGCUAGUUGGUGAGGUAAUGGCUCACCAAGGCGACGAUCGGUAGCUGGUCNGAGAGGAUGAUCAGCCACACUGGGACUGAGACACGGCCCAGACUCCUACGGGAGGCAGCAGUGGGGAAUAUUGGACAAUGGGCGCAAGCCUGAUCCAGCCAUGCCGCGUGAGUGAUGAAGGCCCUAGGGUUGUAAAGCUCCUUCGCCAGGGACGAUAAUGACGGUACCUGGAUAAGAAGCCCCGGCUAACUUCGUGCCAGCCGCCGCCGUAAC